UAAUAGACGUUGAGAAGGUAAGUACGUUGUUGACCAUGCCCAGAGAGCUUGUGUUGGUGAGAGCAAGCGAUGCGAGGCAACCGAAUAUGGCCUUUGAGUGAGAAGAUAUAAGCGAUAGUGAGUAUCUUCCGGGCACUCCCGUUAUAGAGUAACAGUAUAAUUUAGUGUAGAAUAGAGUGAAGCUGCCUUGGAGCAGGUUAUUAUUCUGAAGAGCUAAACGUACUGAUGGAGCUGCAGCUGGGUGACCGUUGCAGAAAAUAAAGGUGGUACCGUGGAAGUCUUCACCCUUUAA
Molecule: non-coding RNA, 292 nt
Filed under: Dolosigranulum pigrum
Lineage: Bacteria; Bacillati; Bacillota; Bacilli; Lactobacillales; Carnobacteriaceae
Description: T-box sequence
Rfam family: T-box leader
About the family: Uncharged tRNA acts as the effector for transcription antitermination of genes in the T-box leader family.
Source: RNAcentral